GACGAACCGAGCGAACGUUAUUCGGAAUCACUGGGCUUAAAGGGCGCGUAGGCGGGCGGUCAAGUCGUAGGUGAAAGCCUGCAGCUCAACUGCAGAAGUGCCCCCGAUACUGAUCACCUCGAGGGAGGUAGGGGCGUACGGAACUUCCGGUGGAGCGGUGAAAUGCGUAGAUAUCGGAAGGAACACCGGUGGCGAAAGCGGCGCGCUGGACCUCUUCUGACGCUGAGGCGCGAAAGCCAGGGGAGCAAACGGG
Molecule: ribosomal RNA, 253 nt
Filed under: uncultured bacterium
Lineage: Bacteria
Description: partial 16S ribosomal RNA
Rfam family: Bacterial small subunit ribosomal RNA
Source: RNAcentral